AGAGCAGGGAGGACGGAGGGAGGCGUGAUUGCUCCCAGGAGCUUUCAUUAACAGGUAAUGGACCUGAUGAUGACAUCUUACACACAUGAUGGUGGAAAAGAAGAACAGGAAGUGAUGCCACUGGAGCAGAGGCUGCUGAUUGGAUAGGAGAUUCCCAGGCAGCUGCAAUAAAACCUGAUGUGUGAAGCCAGAAGAAGACACAGAAACAGAGCGAGGCGACGCAGCAGAGAUCAGCUCCACACUGAAGAUGCAGUUCUGCUUCUGUUUGCUGCUCCCCGGCCUCCUGUCCUUCACUCUGCUCCACUGCAGCGUCGACGGCCUCAGAGUCCAACCGCAACCUGCUCGGCAGGUAGACCAGCCCAUUUUGAGGUUUCAUGCGGCCCCUCAGUCUCGCCCUGUAGGUGUGAAGGUGGGGGAGGAGCUGACAGCAAAACUGCUCCAAUCGGAUCACCAAAUGAGGAUGGAAAAUGAUGUCAUGGAGCCAAAGAGGAAGAGGAGCUUUCCCAUCAACAACGUCCCGCUGGACCGCCUGUCCAUCAGCUCCAUGGAAACGAAGCAGCAAGGGUCAAACAAGCAGAGCAAGGUGGUGGAGUCACCACGGCGACGACUCAAUCCACCGCCCAUUGACAGAAUCGGGAUGGGUCGUCUGCCAAACGGCAGAGGAUAGGCCACACCCCCUCCAUCUGAAAGCCCACUCUCCCCCCACGCUCUCACUGGACAGAUGCAUGAAACAGCCAAUCACCUGCUGAACCACGCCCACCUGACACCCUCACUUCACCUGGACAGCCCAACACAAAGCGCGACUGUUCAAUGAUGGUGCGUUCAGAUGCAGCUCCGUAAAUUCGGCACACAUAGAAAUGAAGUGAUUUCAGCGACACCUGCGAUUUGCUUCCAUGGCAACUCGUUUUAACAAAAAUUUUAUUUACCUGUAAAACUUACAGGUAAACAAAACUUUUAUUUUUUAUAUGCUGAAUUUAAUCAAAGUGAAUUAUGUAAUGUGAGCAAAUCUCAGAUUAGCAGCACCAACAGAUAUCCUGAAGUAUGAGAUUAAAUAUACUUAGUUUCCACCAAUGAGAAGCUUUGAUUUCAGAUUUAUUGAGAAAUAAAUUCGUUACAACUUUGAAAUUUGUAUUUGGAGAAAAUCAGAGCUCAGAUCUCAGAAAGAUCAAAUCAUCAGAAUCGAGCACCUUUGAGUUUAAUAACAAUAAUUUGGAUGUUUUGGGGUUUUUCAUUUAUAAAUUUUUCCAUCUUUUUGAUUCUUUACAUUUAAUAUAUAAUUUAAAAAAUUGAAGGUUAGAGUUUGAACAUUUUAACCUCGUUAGGAUUAGCGUUAGGGAAUGAUAAUGCUGCAGUUUUCCGAGUGUCACCUGAAUGCACCAUCGUCGCCGCCCCCUGCUGUUGGGACCCUGACUGGAGGCACUGUUGCCUCGACUCCCCUCGCAAUCGUCCGACACCAAUCGAGUUUCCUCCUCGCACGUUUGUCUCAGAGUUGUGCAGCAGGACUCUGGGUUUCCACAGCAACGGCACAUUUCUGCUGCGACCGUAAACAGUGGACAUAGCUACUGUUACGUCACCUCAAAGUCACAAGAUUAGCAUUUUCACAGUCAACCCCUUAGUUGCAAAGCAGACUUCCUGUUCAAUAUGACCCAAGAUGAGCGACUGAGUCCAUCACCUCAGCAGCAAAGUGUUUACAAAGGUCAGAGGUCAAAGUUCUACAGCACUGGAAGUCUUUUUGCAACCACAGCAGUCGCCACCUGGUGGCUGUUAGAUAGAAUGCGGGUUUAACUCUUCAGCAUUACUUUUUUUUCCCUGACCAGGAAGCUACAUCCAUGUUUUAUACCAUCUAUGACUGUAACACAUCUAAAUUUUCUAAACUUGAAAUGAGAAAAAAAAAAAAAGAAGUCCAAAAAGAGGUUUAAACGUCUGAGUGCCGCUGCAGUGGAAACCGUCCUGCUCACUGAUUCUGUUCUGAUGUGCUUCUUCCUGCCUGAGUUUAACUGUGCUUAAUAAAAAGAAAAUGACAACAAA
RNA transcript from Oreochromis niloticus (Nile tilapia), 2028 nucleotides. It is a transcript of the gene named osteocrin, with no coding region annotated. The record is from RefSeq and is a predicted model, not a curated record. The transcript has 5 exons. NCBI's taxonomy places the organism in Eukaryota, Metazoa, Chordata, Actinopteri, Cichliformes, Cichlidae.